CGAGAAACGGAACGCUUCGGUUCCGCCAUAUGCGCGGAUUAAAAGGGAACACGGUGCGGAUUACCCAUCAGGGGCCAACGCCGUGGCUGCCCUCGCAACUGUAAGCGGCGAGCGUUUCGCAAUGAUGCCACUGGAGAUGUCCGGGAAGGCCGCGAACGCGCCAGAGCCGUGAGCCAGGAGACCUGCCCAGGCACCAUACCAUGA
Molecule: non-coding RNA, 204 nt
Filed under: Pelagibacterium halotolerans
Lineage: Bacteria; Pseudomonadati; Pseudomonadota; Alphaproteobacteria; Hyphomicrobiales; Devosiaceae
Also listed under: 1 other name
Source: RNAcentral